Molecule: ribosomal RNA, 427 nt
Filed under: uncultured bacterium
Lineage: Bacteria
Description: partial 16S ribosomal RNA
Rfam family: Bacterial small subunit ribosomal RNA
Source: RNAcentral
GUGGGGAAUAUUGGGCAAUGGGGGCAACCCUGACCCAGCGACGCCGCGUGAGGGAAGAAGGCCUUAGGGUCGUAAACCUCUGUUGUGUGGGAAGAAGGAAGUGACGGUACCACACGAGGAAGUCCCGGCUAACUACGUGCCAGCAGCCGCGGUAAUACGUAGGGGACGAGCGUUGUCCGGAAUUACUGGGCGUAAAGGGCGCGUAGGCGGUCAUUUAAGUCAGCUGUGAAAUGGUCCGGCUCAACCGGAUCAUGCGGUUGAAACUGGAUGACUGGAGUGCUGGAGAGGCAAGUGGAAUUCCCAGGGUAGCGGUGAAAUGCGUAGAUAUUGGGAAGAACACCGGUGGCGAAGGCGACUUGCUGGCCAGCAACUGACGCUGAGGCGCGAAAGCCAGGGGAGCAAACGGGAUUAGAAACCCCUGUAGUCC